CACGUAGUUAGCCGGGGCUUUCUCGUGAGGUACCGUCACCGCGCCGCCCUCUUCGAACGGCGCUCCUUCGUCCCUCACAACAGAGCUUUACGACCCGAAGGCCUUCUUCGCUCACGCGGCGCCGCUCCGUCAGGCUUUCGCCCAUUGCGGAAGAUUCCCUACUGCUGCCUCCCGUAGGAGUCUGGGCCGUGUCUCAGUCCCAGUGUGGCCGGUCACCCUCUCAGGCCGGCUACGCAUCGUCGCCUUGGUGAGCCGUUACCUCACCAACUAGCUAAUGCGCCGCGGGCCCAUCCGCAAGUGACAGCCCAAAGGCCGCCUUUCAACCGAAGACCAUGCGGUCUUCGGUGUUAUCCGGUAUUAGCUCCGGUUUCCCGGAGUUAUCCCGGUCUUGCGGGCAGGUUGCCCACGUGUUACUCACCCGUCGCCGCUGACCAAACAGAGCAAGCCCUCGUCGGUCCGCUCGACUUGCAUGUAUUAGGCACGCCGCAGCGUCUCUCGAGUCCGACGACGUCAACUACUCUACG
Molecule: ribosomal RNA, 524 nt
Filed under: uncultured Geobacillus sp.
Lineage: Bacteria; Bacillati; Bacillota; Bacilli; Caryophanales; Anoxybacillaceae
Description: partial 16S ribosomal RNA
Source: RNAcentral